Molecule: ribosomal RNA, 253 nt
Filed under: uncultured bacterium
Lineage: Bacteria
Description: partial 16S ribosomal RNA
Rfam family: Bacterial small subunit ribosomal RNA
Source: RNAcentral
GACGUAGGGGGCAAGCGUUGUUCGGAAUUAUUGGGCGUAAAGCGCUCGUAGGCGGGACUGGAAGUCCGUGUUGAAAGACCUCGGCUCAACUGAGGGACCGGCUCGGAUACUCUAGUUCUUGAGGCAAUCAGAGGGUGAUGGAAUUCCCGGUGUAGCGGUGAAAUUCGUAGAUAUUGGGAAGAACACCGGUGGCGAAGGCGGCUCACUGGCUCGUUACUGACGCUCAGGCACGACAGCGUGGGGAUCAAACAGG